Molecule: long non-coding RNA, 1767 nt
Organism: Triticum dicoccoides
Lineage: Eukaryota; Viridiplantae; Streptophyta; Magnoliopsida; Poales; Poaceae
Exons: 4
Source: RefSeq, a predicted model, not a curated record
GGCAGCUCUUCUCACGGGCGUGGAGGCGGGGCUGAGGUUAGUGGGUGGUGGCUAUGGUGUUGAACGGCGGUGACGGACUUGGCUAGGCGAGCCGAGGGGUUAUGCAGAGAAUAAGACUGACACUGUUGUAGUUCCUAUAGUCGGAAACAACUUUGAUUCACUUGGAGAAGCAUAUGACUAUUUACAAUCUGUAUUCCUGGGAAAUUAGGUUUGGAAUUAGGUAUGGAAAAAGGAGACUGAACGUUGAGAGAACAAAAUGUAUGCAGGAGAUAGCUGCGACUGCUCGGGGGUCCCAAAAAGAAGUAAUACACGGUCUUGCCGGUGUAGGUGCCCAGCGAUGAUAUGGUUGCUCCGGUCAAAAGACAACAGCUGGUAGCAUGGCAUGGGGGGACGAGGAUCAAUCAAGCACUUGAUAAAAGAGACACCAAAUGGAGAAGUAUUAUCUAUUCUGAUCUCUUUCUCAUUAAUUUUCUAUCUUAACUCUAUAUUUACAUGGCAUAUUUUUAUUUUAUUUCAUAUAUACUCGCCGUAUUUCUGAAUGGCUGUUUCUGGAACAUGUCGUAUCCUAUGUCCCCGUAUGCGUAUCCCCGUCUUUCCGUCCCCGUGUCCAUGCUUUUUAGCUUAUUACUACCUAUAUUUGUGAAAUGUCUUAAUGUUGUUGUGCUAUAUUUACGAAAUUUUAUACAUCAGAUUGUGUGCUUAAUACUGCUACACUUGCAAAAUGUCCGAUGAUCGGUUUCGGAUAUGAUAAGUUUGAAUGGGUACAAUGCAGCUGGGACUAACCAAAUAGUUAAUCAAUAGCAGGGAUUACAAGGUUGCUAGGGAAUCAACCUCCACAAAGAUUGAUUGACAAGUACGGGAUCAACCCAAUCACUGGGUGGAUUAGUUCCACUAGGGGAUUGGCCGGUCCCCCUAUAACCAAACAAGGCCUACGGUUGUCCUGCAUCUGGUGGAACAUCGUAACAAAGAUGGACUUUGCCUUAAACGUGUAGCCAGUUUCAGAAAUGGUGUUCAUCGUGUACUUUGUUUUUCCUGUAGGGCAGCACGGGUGAUGAAAGCUAACACGUCAUCGGAGCAGCAUGCGAGUGAGGUGUACACUAGGGCCCAUGUUCGAGAAGUUUGGCCAGAUACUGUAGGAAGCAGGGCAGUACAGGGUCGAACCUGUUGAGCAAGGCAUGAAGUACCUAGUGCGGCGGCACAAUUCGGAGAGGCAUGACAAACGGUGCAAGGUGGUGUAUGAGGUCACAGUUGAUGGAGGGGGUGAUCAGUUUCUGCGGCAACUUCGAGCACACGAGAAUGUUGUGCAGUCAUUCACUGAAGGCACAUAAAAUUUGUUCAAAUGCUUCAUGCCUAUAGCGACAGUGUUUAAUGACCAACAUGUGACAUCUCGAUUAAUGAUGCUACUCAGGUGCAAGUCAUGGAUUUUAUGGGAGUCACGGAGACACACCAGACAGAUGUGACAUGCUGAAGAAACCGAGGAGGUAGCUGAAAUGCACCCACUGUGCCGUAGGUGGUCACCGGCGAAACAUGUGCGGAAACCCAAGUAUGGUGCUUCAUGCAGUGCCUCCUGCUGAAACCCCAAUCCGGCUGGAGGUGACAGUUGUGUAGUUAGCUUUGUUUCUAGUUUUGCGUCCAAUUUGUACAAUUUGAUUUUGUCUUGUGAGCUAGUAGGAUAGUAGGAUUUUCCUAAACCUGUGUGCAUUUAACGUAACCCUGUGUCACCCGCAAAAUAAGCUACAAGUAUUGUGAAAAAUUAUGAUUGUUAAC